Molecule: non-coding RNA, 81 nt
Organism: Larimichthys crocea (large yellow croaker)
Lineage: Eukaryota; Metazoa; Chordata; Actinopteri; Sciaenidae
Source: the annotation of a RefSeq genome assembly
GACAGGUGGCCGAGUGGUAAGGCGAUGGACUGCUAAUCCAUUGUGCUCUGUCACGCGUGGGUUGAAAUCCCAUCCUCGUCG